This 291-nucleotide unclassified non-coding RNA is filed under the name Hevea brasiliensis (rubber tree). The record is from RNAcentral. Lineage: Eukaryota; Viridiplantae; Streptophyta; Magnoliopsida; Malpighiales; Euphorbiaceae.
CUUCUUGCGUGCCAUUUGUUUACCUGAUUUUCACCAAAACAAAAAGACCCAUAAAUAAUCAAAUGCAAGUUCGCACACUCCCAGAUCACAAAAUCACCCAAAACCCACAACUACUCUUCUUCCAAAUUCCAACAAACUGUACAAAGGAAGUCUUACAUUUAAUGGAAACCAAUAAAUGACAACAAAAAACUUAUAUGAACGUAGAUUUUCAUCUUCAUUUUUUAGAGCUAUACAUGGAAAAAAUAAAAAAAACUUUAAUGCGAAAUUUCAGAAUCAAACGUAUCAUUGAAG